Dermochelys coriacea (leatherback sea turtle) is the source of this 1842-nucleotide long non-coding RNA. RefSeq lists it as uncharacterized. The record is from RefSeq and is a predicted model, not a curated record. Lineage: Eukaryota; Metazoa; Chordata; Testudines; Dermochelyidae. The transcript is spliced from 2 exons.
AUUUAUUCUGUAAGUUAUGACUAAUUUGGGGUUUUUUCUACCUUUCAUUUUAAGAAGUGGGGUCCAUGUGUUCAGACUAACUUCAAAGAACCUGAACUUUUUAUAAUAUCCAUUUGGGUCUUCGUAGCAUUUUCAAAAAUAGUCUUCACAAGUUUCUCUAACAACAAUCGCUGUUUUAGCAAAUUAGAAAAGUGUAAACAAUCAAAUAGUAAUGCUGCUGUAGAUGACAUUAGAUAUGCCAUGAUGUCAAAUCCCCAAUUAUUGAUCAUUAGACUCUAUUAAACUCAAAAUAAAUUUUAUUCAAAUUUGGGUAUUGUGUGACUUGUAAGCCAACCUAAUUAUUUAACCUCUUGACUAAUUACAAUUAGUGAAAAUUUAUUUCUUCUCCUCCAGGAGUACCGUCAACAUAAUAAAGAAAAUUGCCACUGUAUGGUUUUAAUACCUUUGUUUCCUCCCAGUUCUGAGCUGUCUGUGUGCUGGUGUGAUCACCCCAGUAUAAAUUAGAGUACCCUAAGGGUUUCUAUAAGUUUUAUAUUGGAUGCCAGUGGCAUUAGAGGCUGACAUGGCAACUGGAAAUUAGCAGGGUAGAAGAGCCCCACCCAUGUCUCCUCCUUUUUUUCUGGUCACACGUUCUUUGCCAGAGGUACAGAGGACUUGCUGUUCUGUCUCUGCACAACAGAAGAAUUCUCUUUUCUGAGAGUGAUCGCCCUGCGACCAUCAACACCUUUGACUUGACAUUGCUAUGAUUCAAAACAUACAAUGUCUUAAUCUGGAAAAGAUCAAAGUUUCAUUUUUAUGAAAGUGUCUUCAUUUCAUAUUCUAAAAAUCAUGUCCAAUGCCUCGCAAGCCACAAAAUCAUGGGUAGAAGUAAAACUGUUAAGGGACACCCCUUCAUUUAUCAUAGAUCCGAGUAUUCUGUGGGUAUAGAAAGGUCUGUCCCCUAGCGCAUCCUCAUUAUGUUCUGUUGUGCAACACUUUCAUUGUUUUCUAUUUUUAAUAUUAUACUUUCAAUGUACAGUAGGUUAAAGUUUAGGUAAACCAAUGACAUCCUAAGCCUUGGUAAACUUGGGUCUUUGUCAUGGUACAAGUGGAAAGGUAAUCACUUUUCACAUUAUUCACUACAGCAGUAGUCCUUUAAUGGACCAACAUGCCCAAAGCCAAAAAUGCCUUGGAGAUGUGGGCAUUCACCUCACAACUGUUUGCUUUUUGUACUCUUUCUGCCCUAAGUCUGAAGUGAGAGGGAUAGGAAUCUUAAGGUUUUUUAGAAGAAGGGAACAGCUAAGUCUGACCAAAAACUCCUUGAGUCAUCAAUACCAACGUCUGAUCUAAGUCAUACCAAUGAAAUCCAUUCAUUUGUCCGUUGUCGUCAUCUGAUGUUGAAUACGUUCCCUUGGAUGAUAUCUGUGUAGUCUUUUCUCUGUGGUAUCCUCUUUGCUGCUAUCAUCAAGGCUCAAGAAAAAGUAGGCCCUCAAGUGAUUCAAGGAGCAAAAGAAAAGCCGAUUGAAUUUCCUCUCUAAAUGCAUUAUUUCAAUCUAGACAGGAUUUGGACUCCUCUGGAAAAUAUCAUUUUUUCUGGUGUGAUGGUCCUGUCUAGAUCAUGUUUUGCUGGAGAUUUCCUUUGCACUAUCAAUUCUGUCUUGUUAAAAUGGACAUUCACAGUUUAGGUUGUGGGAUACUCAUCUGGGCCUGUUGGUUAUCCAAGACCUUUGAAGACUAAUGGAGGUCAUAUGGCACACAACUUUUGGGCCUGUAAAUUGCUGUCUCUGAAUGUUGCUCCUCUGAUCAAAUCUAUCCUUGAACCUGAAUGAGAUCAGCUGUUGGAUGAAGAACAGCUGACUGAAG